GAUGAACGCUGGCGGCGUGUCUAAGACAUGCAAGUCGAACGCACUAGCAAUAGUGAGUGGCGCACGGGUGCGUAACACGUGGGUAAUCAACCCUUCAGCCUGGGAUAACGACUCGAAAGGGUCGCUAAUACCGGAUACGGCGCGAGAGGCUUCGGCUUCUCACGAGAAAGCCACGCAAGGGGCACUGAAGGACGAGCCUGCGGCCCAUCAGCUAGUUGGUGAGGUAAGAGCUCACCAAGGCUAAGACGGGUAGCUGGUCUGAGAGGAUGAUCAGCCACACUGGAACUGAGACACGGUCCAGACUCCUACGGGAGGCAGCAGUGGGGAAUCUUGCGCAAUGGGCGAAAGCCUGACGCAGCGACGCCGCGUGGGUGAUGAAGGCC
This 383-nucleotide ribosomal RNA is filed under the name uncultured bacterium. RNAcentral's name for it is "bacterial SSU rRNA". It matches the Rfam family "Bacterial small subunit ribosomal RNA", at positions 28 to 416 of the family's 1533-position model. The record is from RNAcentral.